RNAcentral lists this ribosomal RNA (468 nucleotides) under uncultured bacterium. RNAcentral's name for it is "partial 16S ribosomal RNA". It matches the Rfam family "Bacterial small subunit ribosomal RNA", at positions 28 to 507 of the family's 1533-position model. The record is from RNAcentral.
GACGAACGCUGGCGGCGUGCUUAACACAUGCAAGUCGAACGGAAAGGCCCUGCUUUUGUGGGGUGCUCGAGUGGCGAACGGGUGAGUAACACGUGAGUAACCUGCCCUUGACUUUGGGAUAACUUCAGGAAACUGGGGCUAAUACCGGAUAGGAGCUCCUGCUGCAUGGUGGGGGUUGGAAAGUUUCGGCGGUUGGGGAUGGACUCGCGGCUUAUCAGCUUGUUGGUGGGGUAGUGGCUUACCAAGGCUUUGACGGGUAGCCGGCCUGAGAGGGUGACCGGCCACAUUGGGCCUGAGAUACGGCCCAGACUCCUACGGGAGGCAGAGGUGGGGAAUAUUGCACAAUGGGCGGAAGCCUGAUGCAGCAACGCCGCGUGCGGGAUGACGGCCUUCGGGUUGUAAACCGCUUUCGCCUGUGACGAAGCGUGAGUGACGGUAAUGGGUAAAGAAGCACCGGCUAACUACGUG